UUUUUUUUUUUUUUUUUUUUUAGGGUUGCUUCUCUAUUUAUUGACAAUAAUAAUGUACAUUUCACAGUCUGGUUCUAGGACAUUCAGGGAAGGGCGAGUGGGGGCCCGAGGGGUCCCUGCCCCACCCGCCUGGUGUCCUGUUGUAUCUCUGUGUAAGUGAUGCUCGUGACAUAGCUGUUUAUGAAAUAAUUAAAGAGGUCAAUGCGUACAACAGAUGUAGAAAGUCUGUCAGUUCCGCCUUCAUCACAUUUUUUUUUGUGCCCAGAAGAAUAUAAUAAAGCUCCUUUCUAAUGUACUUGUGCUGGAGAACACUUGAAUAAAUGGACUGUUUUUGUGCAAAAAGAAAAAUGGAAAAGCACCGUAAUAA
RNAcentral lists this long non-coding RNA (367 nucleotides) under Homo sapiens (human). RNAcentral's name for it is "non-protein coding lnc-DNMT3A-1:1". Lineage: Eukaryota; Metazoa; Chordata; Mammalia; Primates; Hominidae. The record is from RNAcentral.